This 244-nucleotide unclassified non-coding RNA is filed under the name Hevea brasiliensis (rubber tree). The record is from RNAcentral. Lineage: Eukaryota; Viridiplantae; Streptophyta; Magnoliopsida; Malpighiales; Euphorbiaceae.
GGCUGUUUGGAAAUCUGUAAUACACAGCAAAGCCAGGCAUAUUGCCACACUCACGUUCAUAUAUCGAUUCAUCACUCUUCCAGUAGUAAGCAAUCUUUAACGUCUCAUAGAGAAAUUUCCCAAGUCUUCCUGCUUCAUAUUCAGUGCAACAGCAAAUCAUAGGUUGUAAUGUUUUGCAUAUCAGAACAUCAAUAUGGUUCACUGUGUUGAAAAAUGGAGUCCCAAGGGAAUGAAGAGUAUGCAC